This 550-nucleotide ribosomal RNA is filed under the name uncultured bacterium. RNAcentral's name for it is "bacterial SSU rRNA". It matches the Rfam family "Bacterial small subunit ribosomal RNA", at positions 746 to 1296 of the family's 1533-position model. The record is from RNAcentral.
CUGAGAAGCGAAAGCAUGGGGAGCGAACAGGAUUAGAUACCCUGGUAGUCCAUGCCGUAAACGUUGGGAACUAGGUGUGGGUCUCAUUCCACGAGAUCCGUGCCGCAGCUAACGCAUUAAGUUCCCCGCCUGGGGAGUACGGCCGCAAGGCUAAAACUCAAAGGAAUUGACGGGGGCCCGCACAAGCGGCGGAGCAUGCGGAUUAAUUCGAUGCAACGCGAAGAACCUUACCAAGGCUUGACAUGUACCGGAAACGUGCAGAGAUGUGCGCCCCGCAAGGUCGGUACACAGGUGGUGCAUGGUUGUCGUCAGCUCGUGUCGUGAGAUGUUGGGUUAAGUCCCGCAACGAGCGCAACCCUCGUUCUAUGUUGCCAGCACGUGAUGGUGGGGACUCAUAGGAGACUGCCGGGGUCAACUCGGAGGAAGGUGGGGAUGACGUCAAAUCAUCAUGCCCCUUAUGUCUUGGGCUUCACGCAUGCUACAAUGGCCAGUACAAAGGGCUGCGAAACCGCGAGGUGGAGCGAAUCCCCAAAAACUGUCUCCAGUUCGG